CAUUCCCUACAAGUUCCCUACAUGAAUUGCAUAAUAGAGAUACAAGCAAGAAUCAUUAACUUCUAUGAAAAACAUAAGCAUUGACGAGGCACUCGUUACUAUGAUUUGCAUGAAACUUAUGCCAAGAAUUUACUUAACGUGAUUGUGACUAGCAAUCUUCACUACUUGUGAAUAUAAGUUCAUAACGAUUAGGUGAAACUCCCUUAUAUUCUAGCAUCGAAUUCAUGCAUGAAAAUUAAGCGUGCACUCUCAACCAACAUACACAAAUAAGUUUUUAUACGAACGGAUAAGUAAAUUGAAUUCACAACUUAUAAAUCACAACUGGAUGUAAUCAAUUCAUAUUACAAAUAUAUUCAUGGCUUUGAAUUAACCUCUAGCCAAAAUUAAUUUAGUUACACAUUAUUAUAACAUUUAACCAAAAGUAAAAUAUAAGUUGGAAAGUUUUAACCGAAAGAGGAGAAGCUUGCUGCUUCUGUUUCUGUCCGUGCUCUUUGAACCCCUGCUGAGGCUCACGCUGCUCCUGCCUUCUCUCUCUGUCCUCUCGCGCAAAGCAGCUCCUCGCAAGUCUCCCCGCAAGUCUCCGUGUUCUGCCAGUCACGCUGCCAAAGGCAGCUUGUGACCUCCCCCCAGCUCUUUCCAAUUCCCCCUCUUAUAUUUCCUCUUCUUCGCACCUCACUGCACGUGUUCUCGCUCACGCUGCCAAGGGCAGCUGUCUCCCUGACUCUCCCUCUAUCCCCGCUGCCCAAAGGCAGCCUUUUACAGACCCUUUUGCGUCUCAUUGGCCUCCCCCUUUAUUUCCUGCUUUUCUGAGCUGCCAAAGGCAGCUAUUCUUUUUAUUUUAUUCUUUUCUCUUUUUCUCUGGCCAGCUGCAAAGGCAGCCCUUUCCAUCCCCUUUCACGUUGUAAACCAGCUGCUCCGUCUGGGCUGCCAAGACAGCCCACUGCUGUCCUCUCACAUGAGUUACUCUAGCUGCCAAAAGCAGCUCUUUUAUUUCUUUAUAAUUUUUCAAGUUGCUAAGGCAGCUUCCUGCCUUUUUAAUUUAUGCCGCUGCCCAUGUUUGGAUUCCUUCAUUUCCAGCUGCAAAGCAGCUUCCUUUUCUCUAUAUUCUCCUCCCGAUGUUCUUUAAGACUUUCAGUAUAUAAUCCCACUGACUGCAAACUCUGAAUAAAGAGAUACUGCAUGCAAAUUUCACACAAACAUGUCAAAAAUGAGUUUUUCAUUAAAUUACUUUUCAGUUUAUGUUUUUGGCUAGAUAGGAAAGACGUUAAUUACUCUAUGUACUUAUUUUCAGCUUAUUUUAAUGGAAUACAAUUUUGACGAAGUUAUUACAUAAAAUUUCACUUAUUCUAUUUUUAUUUUCUUUGCAUAACAAAUCCUAUAAACACAAAAAUAACGUAAAUAGCUCAAAAAUAUAAGGAACUAACUAAGAAAAGACGAGUGAAUUUGAAGUAAAAAUAUAUAUAAAUAUGAUCCGAUCAAUACCCCCAUACUUAGCUUUUGCUAGUCCUCGAGCAAAACAAAGAAAACAUGAAAAAGUACUAACAUGAAAAACAUUAGUUUCCCCCUAUGUGACCCUCAUAGAAUUUUAUUUGAGAACACAAAUCAUCAAGAACCAUAUCUAGCACCAAACAAGUUAAUCCAAGUUCAUCUUCCUUAUUCAAAUAUUAGCAGUAAUCUUUGAAUCAUCCUUGAAGUGUAGUGUGUGAGAUAGUCAUGCUAAUGCAAUUUCAAGUUUUUAUUUUUAAAAUCAUCAUAUGCAAACUAGUAACCUUCUCACGGGAUAUACACUCAAUCACAUAUGUGUUUAGUUUUAAUGUGUUUCACUCAAAGAAUCAAAUGUGAAAUUUCUACCAUAAGCUUGCAUAAAGAUCACUUCUCCACAAUCAUAAUUGCAAAACUUAAAUCAAGAGGACUUUUAUUGGAUGUAAUGAGGUUUAGGGAGAGGGUUAUUGAAACGAAAGAAUAGGAAAACACAAGUUCCAAGCUACAUUGCAAGCAAUUCUUUUGUUUAGAUUUAUAAGAACUCAAUAUUUCCAGCGAUUCUUCUAGCACCUCCAACCACACCCUUAACUGAAACUUGAAAAACUUUUUAUUUUCUUCGUAUACAAUUUUUUUUUUUUUUUUUUUUUUUUUCAAACAUGAAAUACCUCCACACUUAUUCUUUUGCCAAACACCUUCAAAGUACUUCACAAACGUUUCUCAUAAGACAAUCUUGCAUUGCUCGCUAGCUUGCUUGGAAAGGGUAAGGAAAAAAAUUUCAGGCAUAAGGGUAGACAUAUCUGGUGAUAAGAAAUAAAAGGCUCAACAAACACGGCUCAAAUUGGCAAUCUAAUGAUAUCAUUUUUCUUUGGGAAAACAUGGUUAUUUGGGCCAUAGUGGUAAACCUAAUGCCUCUAUCAUUUCCAAGUUCAUGCAAUCAAUGACAAACAUUUCGAAAGAUCGUUAUGCAAGUUCUAGAGACAUCUCACAUAAGUUCAUCACACAUGAAAGAAUAGGAGUGUAUGAAAAAUGCACACACUUUCAAUAGGCUCAAAAACUCACAUAGGAUAUAUAUGGUCACUAAAUUCACAUAUGAAGCUUUAAGUCAUACUUUAGUUUCACAUUAACAAGGCUAUGUGCAUUUGGUUUUUCAAAGAUGAUCAAACAUGUACAAAACUAACAAGAGAAUUAGGAAUUUCACAAAAAAAAACAUGUUAACUAAGUUCUUGAUAAUCAUGAUUCAAAUUUGAUCCAAUUAUAUCAUUGGGUCGGGAAACUAACAAAAAUCUAAUUCAAAACAAUAAGGAAAACAAGACAAUAUUUUUGGAUUUUUAAAUUUUUCGAUUUUUUUUUUUUUUAUAGAGAAAACAAAACAAAAAAAUAAAAAGCAACAACACAGAAACAAAUGAAACCAGUUCGAAGUUGAAGGUACAAAAAAUUUCAAUUUGGUCAUUUUUACCCUUUACCCCCAUACUUAAACUGGACAUUGUCCCCAAUGUCAGAAAACACUAUAAUGCAAAAAUAAACAAAAUAAACAAAAUAAAUAAAUAAAUAAAUAAAUAAAGCAAUUGGACUGAAAACUUCCCUAAUUUGCAGUAAAAUCAAGCGAUGACCCCCCAAGCUAAAAUUCUGCAAUCAACUUCAAGGGUGGAAAUAACCAAAAGUUCCUGCAAAGAAAAGAAAUAAUUCAGUUAAUGACGCAAGAAAAUGUAGAAAAAUGCAAACGAAAAAUUGAAAAUGAAAAUAAAAGAUAAUGAAUAGAACUAAUAGGUGAUCAUUGGUCGCUUGUUGACUUUCCACAGCUUUCCUCUUGAACUGAUUUGGAAUUCUGAGCGAGGAUUGCACAGUCUGCAUUCUUCUCUGCUUGUUUCCUCUGCAUGGCGGGCAGGCACAAGGUAGCUGUUUUGGUCUGAUUCUUUCUUCAAUCUUUCCAAGUGCCCACCUCUUGCUUUCUUUCUCCUUGUCCCUAGCUGAAUUGUCUCCACAUGCUUCGAGGUAUCAUUUUCACUUCCCUUACUGUCCCCCAGGUAGAUGUGGUAGACAAAGAGGAAGCACAAGAUGAUGAAGAUGAGUACUCGAGAGCAAGGCUAGGUAAGCAAUCAGGAAGGGGUUCCAGGCAGUUGGCUCCAGAUCGGAAGAUUUGAUACCAAAUGCUGGCUGAUUGCUCUCCUUCUCCUUGUCGGAAAACAAAGACAAGGAGAAGGACAUGGAGAAAGCAUGAUAUGAGAUACUCUUGCUUUCAACCUUUAUGAUAUGAAAUACUUUUGCUUUGAAUGGGUUGUUCGCAGGAGUAUCCCAAGGAAUGAGGAACACAGAGUGACUCGAAAGGAUUCUUUUGGGAAUGCAUUUUCGGAGAUGAAGAAGAGUUGAGAGGGUGUGCUGAGAGAGUGUGCUUUUGCUGUGGAAGGCGAAGGUAGAAACUUAUAGGACUUGUCUUCACAACCGGAACUGUUCUCUCACUCAUUGUCGGCAGCCGGUGGAUGGAUGAAUAGUACAAAUUACGCGCUUUCUGACAAAGCUGCCCGUAAUUUCCGCAAAGCUGCCAGUUGCAUGUGACAAAUGCUGACUAGGCUGAGAGAGACAGAUGGUUGGAAUCGGCACUUCGACAGACUGCCCGUGAUUUUCGCAGAGCUGAGUUUGCGUGUGACGGGUGACAACACGUCUGGACGAAUUGAUCUUGCGAAAUCCGGGGUUCGGCUCGUGGUUUAUGAGCAAGCCCAACUUUUAAGAAAUGAACGCCUCUUUUGAGAAAAGAAUCCGGCUUUUGAGAACGGAAACUCCUCUUUUGAGAAAAGAAUCCGGCUUUUGAGAAAGGUGCCCGACUCUUCGAUUUGCGAGAGGACGCCUCUUCAAUUUCUGAGGAGCGCCUCUUUGAAUUCUUCUUUUUAUAGAGGCGUUAAUUUUGUUCCACAACAUACUUGAGCUCCCUCCUGUAAACACUCCCUUCUUGCACUUCCGAAAUCUUGAUCAGUCCGAUCUCUUCUUUCUUCACCACCUCUGAAAAAUGUCUGGCCCUUCUGAUCGUCGUUUUGACUUGAACAUUGGUGAAGAGGCAGCUCCGCCUUCACCAGACAACAUAUGGCGGCCAUCCUUCAUAUCCCCUACCGGUCCUCUUACCGUUGGGGAUUCGGUGAUGAAAAAUGACAUGACCGCUGCAGUGGUGGCCCGGAACCUUGUCACUCCCAGAGAUAACAGACUGCUCGCUAGACGGUCUGAUGAAUUGGCGGUUAAGGAGUCUCUGGCUCUUAGCGUGCAGUGUGCGGGUUCUGUGUCCAACAUGGCCCAACGCCUAUUUGCUCGAACCCGUCACGUUGAAUCGUUGGUGGCUGAAAUACAGAGUCUUAAAGAGGAGAUUAGAGGACUCAAGCAUGAAAAUAAACAAUUGCACAAGCUUGCACACAAUUAUGCCACAAACAUGAAGAGGAAAAUUGACCAGCUGCAAGACACUGAUGGUCAAAUUUUACUUGAUCAUCGGAGGUUUGUGGGUUUGUUCCAACCGCAUCUUCCUUCGUCUUCUGGAGCGGCACCGCGUAGUGAAGCUCCAACUGAUCAACCUCUGCCGCCUCCUCCUUCUGUGGCCCCGCCGACUGCCGAAGCUCCGCCAACUACUGAAGCACCACCUGACCAAUGAAUGCUAUUAGUUUACACAUCAUUGUAAAAUAUUUUUAAGUUUAUGUUUUUUUUUUUUUUUUUUUUUUUUUUUUUUUUUUUUUAAUUAUAUGUAAAUUAAUGUAGAAAGACUUUGUUUAACCUGCCCCUACACUUAAACUAAAUAACACAAACUCACAGAAAUCAACCAAAUACACAACUAACUAAACAAAACAAAAUGAAAGCAGUAAAGAUAAGGGUGUAAGAAUGCAAAUCUAAUCGGAAAAAGAUUUGUUGAGCAAUUUCAAAAUCUCCCUUCGUUGAAUGCUUGGGUUGCCUCCCAAGAAGCGCUUGAUUUAACGUCUUUAGCCGGACGAAACUUUCCUUUAAACUCCCCUCGGCUCCAAAGCAUGGAAUUUAUCUUUUAAUGGGAGGUGAUACUUGAAAUGAUUCGGCAAUGGUUUAAAUUCAAGAGUGGGUGCCUGAAUCAUCAAAAUCAGAAAAAUGUUAGUAUAAAUAAAAAUUAAAAUUGGAGAAGAUGGCUUACUUUCUUUUUCCGACACAAACUCAAUGACAAACACCACAUUUUUGAACAUUUCCGGGACUUUGAACUUGGCCAGGUUUACUAUGAUGGUUGUGGCUUGUCCCGUGUCAUCAAACUCAACUGCUUUGGGCUUGAUUGUCUCAUGCAUAGCCUCUUGGAUGUAUUCUUGAUAUGCUUCAACCACUUCAUUUUCUUGAAUCCCUUUUCUUGGUGUGCAAGGUUCUUUGAACGUUUCAAUACCAUCGGGAACUUGUUUUGGUGCACCAAGAAUUGGGAUAUCACUUUGCACCUUUGGAAGAGCUUCCACAAUGUCUUUUUCACUCUCUUUGAUAUUUGGAAUCAAAAACCUGCAAGGACAAAGGACAUUCGGUGGAAUAAUGUUAGAAUGAAGUGAAUUUAGAACUUCCUCACCUGAGUUGGAUGACAUAGGGAUUUGAGGAGCUUGCAGCAAGAAUUCUUCUAAACUGCCCAGGUCGUCCUCCUCCUCUUCUGCUUGCAGCAGCAAUUCAUCCAUGUUCGGGUUGUGUUUGGAUGGUUCUGGGACAGCUUCAUCCUUCAUGUCACCUUCCAAAGUGAUGGCUUCAUCGAUUUCACUUUCUGCCUUUGAAUUUGCAAUGUUUGAGUUGGAAAGUUCACUUUGAUCUCGAAUCUGUGCCAUGAAUUCCACAAUCUGCCCAACUUGCAUCUCCAAUUCGUCCACUCUUUUGACUCGGUCUUGCAUCUCCUGGUUUCGAUUUUCUACUCCCUGAUUCAAAGAGGUGAGUAACUUAUUAAGUGUAUCAUUAUCCAAGGACGUACCUGAAUUGAAUUGGGUUGAUUGUUGUGGUGGUUGUGACGGCUCAUAUGGCCACUGAUAGAACUCUUCCGAUGGCGGCAAUUGUUCUUCUUUUCGUAAACCCUGCGCUACAGAAAUUAGUCCUUCAAGAAUUUCAUUAUAAUUCAUGGGCAUACUUUGAUUUGAUUGGAAUUGUUGUGGGGGAUGCUGUGGUGGCUGCAUAGGUCUUGAAUAGAACUCGUCUUGCUGCCAAUAUCCACCUUGUUGAAAUUGUUGAGGUUCAUCCCACAUAUAAUCUGAAUUACCUCUCCAAUCUGAAUUGUAAGCGUUGGAAAAUAUGUUGCCCCUUGAUUGGUUAUGGCCUUGAUAUCCCCAAACAUCUUCAUUUGUAUAAAAUUGAGGACUUUGAUAACCUUGCCCAUAGGGCACAUCAAAUGUAGGGACACUUGGCAAGGUGGUCCGUUCGGCAUUAUGAGUCAAUUGAGCAGUGAGCUGUGCCAAUUGAGCUUGAAUGGUCGCAAGUGCCAUGUCUCGCUCCAUUUGUACCUAAAAUCAAAGAAAGAAAAAUAAAUCAAAUAUCAAAAGUAAAAUACACAAACACCAAUAUAAACAUAAACAAAAAAAAACAAAAAUAAAGGGAUUAGCAAAGUUGCUAAUCCCCGGCAACGGCGCCAAAAUUUGAUGCGCAAAAUAACUUGACACACAAAUUAAACCCUCUUUUUGACAAUUGUAGUAUAGAUGUAAGUAGGGUAUCGUUCUAGGCCGGGGAUUAGGAGGGAUUGCUAAUCUAUUCUAAAUUAAUUUAAAAAUAUUAAACAAGACUCAAGGACACAAAACUAGGCUAAAAACUCUAAUAACUCGAAACACACUUAGAAUGACUCAAAAUAAUGAAAACAAUCAAAUUAAACACUAGGAAUUGAAAUGGACGGAAAUUGAAUUAAAAGACUAACAACAAUGAAAACUAAUUAAAUAAUAUAAUUUAAUAAUGGGAGGGUUUGGUUUUGACGAGAAGUAAAUUAACUUAAAUAAAUUACAGAAUUGACAAAAGCAUGAAAUUAAGGUGAAAGGAUAGGUGACAAACUAGCUAGAGGGUUCUUCUCCACACAUGACACAUAUGCAACCUAAAUUGAUUUUCAGUUGUUCUUUCAAUAAAUUGUAAAUCUCAACGCCCCCAAAUUAACCGUGAAUUGCACUAAUUAACCCUCAGUUUUUCCACAAGUUAUUGGGUUGGAUGAUUGCAUACGACAAACCCAAAACAUUCCCUACAAGUUCCCUACAUGAAUUGCAUAAUAGAGAUACAAGCAAGAAUCAUUAACUUCUAUGAAAAACAUAAGCAUUGACGAGGCACUCGUUACUAUGAUUUGCAUGAAACUUAUGCCAAGAAUUUACUUAACGUGAUUGUGACUAGCAAUCUUCACUACUUGUGAAUAUAAGUUCAUAACGAUUAGGUGAAACUCCCUUAUAUUCUAGCAUCGAAUUCAUGCAUGAAAAUUAAGCGUGCACUCUCAACCAACAUACACAAAUAAGUUUUUAUACGAACGGAUAAGUAAAAUUGAAUUCACAACUUAUAAAUCACAACUGGAUGUAAUCAAUUCAUAUUACAAAUAUAUUUCAUGGCUUUGAAUUAACCUCUAGCCAAAAUUAAUUUAGUUACACAUUAUUAUAACAUUUAACCAAAAGUAAAAUAUAAGUUGGAAAGUUUUAACCGAAAGAGGAGAAGCUUGCUGCUUCUGUUUCUGUCCGUGCUCUUUGAACCCCUGCUGAGGCUCAC
This 8157-nucleotide long non-coding RNA is filed under the name Malus domestica (apple). Its description in RNAcentral is "long non-coding RNA (MDOM_LNC013824)". Lineage: Eukaryota; Viridiplantae; Streptophyta; Magnoliopsida; Rosales; Rosaceae. The record is from RNAcentral.